This 811-nucleotide ribosomal RNA is filed under the name uncultured bacterium. RNAcentral's name for it is "bacterial SSU rRNA". It matches the Rfam family "Bacterial small subunit ribosomal RNA", at positions 62 to 869 of the family's 1533-position model. The record is from RNAcentral.
UCGAGCGGUAGAGAGAACUUGCUUCUCUUGAGAGCGGCGGACGGGUGAGUAAUGCCUAGGAAUCUGCCUGGUAGUGGGGGAUAACGUUCGGAAACGGACGCUAAUACCGCAUACGUCCUACGGGAGAAAGCAGGGGACCUUCGGGCCUUGCGCUAUCAGAUGAGCCUAGGUCGGAUUAGCUAGUUGGUGAGGUAAUGGCUCACCAAGGCGACGAUCCGUAACUGGUCUGAGAGGAUGAUCAGUCACACUGGAACUGAGACACGGUCCAGACUCCUACGGGAGGCAGCAGUGGGGAAUAUUGGACAAUGGGCGAAAGCCUGAUCCAGCCAUGCCGCGUGUGUGAAGAAGGUCUUCGGAUUGUAAAGCACUUUAAGUUGGGAGGAAGGGUUGUAGAUUAAUACUCUGCAAUUUUGACGUUACCGACAGAAUAAGCACCGGCUAACUCUGUGCCAGCAGCCGCGGUAAUACAGAGGGUGCAAGCGUUAAUCGGAAUUACUGGGCGUAAAGCGCGCGUAGGUGGUUUGUUAAGUUGGAUGUGAAAUCCCCGGGCUCAACCUGGGAACUGCAUUCAAAACUGACUGACUAGAGUAUGGUAGAGGGUGGUGGAAUUUCCUGUGUAGCGGUGAAAUGCGUAGAUAUAGGAAGGAACACCAGUGGCGAAGGCGACCACCUGGACUAAUACUGACACUGAGGUGCGAAAGCGUGGGGAGCAAACAGGAUUAGAUACCCUGGUAGUCCACGCCGUAAACGAUGUCAACUAGCCGUUGGAAGCCUUGAGCUUUUAGUGGCGCAGCUAACGCAUUAAGUUGAC